RNAcentral lists this ribosomal RNA (140 nucleotides) under Acinetobacter baumannii. RNAcentral describes it as "partial 16S ribosomal RNA". It matches the Rfam family "Bacterial small subunit ribosomal RNA", at positions 1 to 136 of the family's 1533-position model. Lineage: Bacteria; Pseudomonadati; Pseudomonadota; Gammaproteobacteria; Moraxellales; Moraxellaceae. The record is from RNAcentral. RNAcentral also lists the same sequence under 3 other names.
AAAUUGAAGAGUUUGAUCAUGGCUCAGAUUGAACGCUGGCGGCAGGCCUAACACAUGCAAGUCGAGCGGUAGCACAGAGAGCUUGCUCUCGGGUGACGAGCGGCGGACGGGUGAGUAAUGUCUGGGAAACUGCCUGAUGG